This 366-nucleotide ribosomal RNA is filed under the name uncultured Eubacteriales bacterium. RNAcentral describes it as "bacterial SSU rRNA". It matches the Rfam family "Bacterial small subunit ribosomal RNA", at positions 529 to 896 of the family's 1533-position model. The record is from RNAcentral. Lineage: Bacteria; Bacillati; Bacillota; Clostridia; Eubacteriales.
AGGUGGCGAGCGUUGUCCGGAAUUACUGGGUGUAAAGGGAGUGUAGGCGGGAAAGCAAGUCAGAAGUGAAAACUAUGGGCUUAACCCAUAGCCUGCUUUUGAAACUGUUUUUCUUGAGUGAAGUAGAGGCAAGCGGAAUUCCUAGUGUAGCGGUGAAAUGCGUAGAUAUUAGGAGGAACACCAGUGGCGAAGGCGGCUUGCUGGGCUUUUACUGACGCUGAGGCUCGAAAGCGUGGGGAGCAAACAGGAUUAGAUACCCUGGUAGUCCACGCCGUAAACGAUGAUCACUAGGUGUGGGGAGCGAACCUUUCCGUGCCGGAGUAAACACAAUAAGUGAUCCACCUGGGGAGUACGGCCGCAAGGCUG